This 81-nucleotide transfer RNA is filed under the name Oscillibacter sp. RNAcentral describes it as "tRNA-Ala". The record is from RNAcentral. Lineage: Bacteria; Bacillati; Bacillota; Clostridia; Eubacteriales; Oscillospiraceae.
GGGCCCGCUUAGCGCACCGCUUGGGAGCGCAUCACAUUCGCAUUGUGGGGGUCGUCGGUUCGAAUCCGAUCAGGUCCACCA